RNAcentral lists this ribosomal RNA (293 nucleotides) under uncultured bacterium. RNAcentral describes it as "partial 16S ribosomal RNA". It matches the Rfam family "Bacterial small subunit ribosomal RNA", at positions 775 to 1067 of the family's 1533-position model. The record is from RNAcentral.
GGAUUGAUACCCUGGUAGUCCAUGCCGUAAACGAUGUGUGUUAGACGUUGGAAAUUUAUUUUCAGUGUCGCAGCGAAAGCAGUAAACACACCGCCUGGGGAGUACGGCCGCAAGGUUAAAACUCAAAUGAAUUGACGGGGGCCCGCACAAGCGGUGGAGCAUGUGGUUUAAUUCGAAGAUACGCGCAGAACCUUACCAACACUUGACAUGUUCGUCGCGGCUCUAAGAGAUUAGAGCUUUCGGUUCGGCCGGACGAAACACAGGUGCUGCAUGGCUGUCGUCAGCUCGUGUUG